RNAcentral lists this long non-coding RNA (2203 nucleotides) under Triticum aestivum (bread wheat). RNAcentral's name for it is "long non-coding RNA (TAES_LNC012585)". Lineage: Eukaryota; Viridiplantae; Streptophyta; Magnoliopsida; Poales; Poaceae. The record is from RNAcentral.
CCAGAGGUGGAGGGAUUUGGAUGUUGCAAAGUUUACCAGUAUUACUAUUUAAAUAUCAUGAACCUUAUUGUGCAUAAAAAAUGACAGAAAAUAGGACUACUUCAGAGUACACAUUUUAAAUUUACCUGUAUUAUCAUGUAAAUAUUUAUUUUAUUAAGAGUUUGAAUUUUUAGGAGAACACCUCAUGUUCAACCACUUUCAUUUCCCUUCAUUCUUAGUUUCUUACUAAUGGUCGCUCGAUGGUGCUAAUUGGCUUAUGUGGUUAUAGAUGGUGAGUAUUACUGUAUUAGGAAGGCUCGCAUCACCAUUAUUUUUAAGGAAGUUUAAUCCAUGUAUGUUUUGUCCAUGUAAUUUUAAAUUCUUAGCUGCAUGGAAGUGGUACCUUUUAGUUCUUUGUGCCGGUUACAAAAAUAAUCAUCAUUGGGCUGUAAAUUUGACUGGCACAACUUAAGCUGAUUUUUGGUAUUUUUCUUCUUGGUAAGCUUUCAGUUAUAUUGGCAAAAAAAUUGCUUGAAGGUUUCAAAUAUACUACACCGGAACUAUUCCAACAUUGCUAUUGAAAUUUUUCUUGUGGAAGUACUUGGAAGGAAGAUUCUUGCCCAGUUCAACUUCUUUAAUAUUCUUGAAGGACACAUCAAAGAUUUCUAGAUGCAACAAGUUUAUAUGAAUUACACAUGGUAGACAAGGUUAAUGUCACUGUGUAGUCUUUGCCCCUUCUCUAGAAGGGGUAUAUGCUCGAAAAUCGUAUUAUCUUUUGUCCAGACUCAAAUUUUAUAUGGCUGUUUGAUCUGUGGUUAGAAUUUAUUCCCGGUGUCCGUGUCUCACUAAGUUACCUCUGUUGAAACUGAAAAAUGUAUGAAUGCAAAAAUGGUUUAUCAAAUCCAUGCUGAUUGCAAGACAUGCUUGUAUUGAAAAAGCAAUCAUCUUUUCACAUAUACAAAACUUUGUAAGGUUUGAGGUGCUGGUUUUGGAACCGCUUCUGUUUUUGUUUUACUGUACUCCUCUCAAUAGAGAUGCUCCUUUGAACUCUCAAGUUUCUAUUUUUGUUGCAUAGUUCACCGUUUGCAGACCAGUUGUUUGGUUGUCCUUUUAAUCAAAACUUCUGUUGUUAUGUUUGGAGGCAAGUCUGCAUUGGUCUCAUCCUGAUGGAAUUCAUUACAUGGUGGGAAUGUUAAGAGCGGGGACCUUAUAUUUAGAAACAACAAGGUGAUCCAUUUGUUGGUUUGUGCACACCUUCCUGUUAGGUUGUUUUCAAAAAUUAUUGGCAGUGAUGAUCUGGUAAAUCCCGGAUGUUUUAAAUUGUCUGAACUCUUCAGCCUGUGUGUGCCUGCUGUCUUUGCUUAUUGUUUGCUCCUUUAGCUUGAAGAAGCGCUGCACUUAAUUGGCGAGCUUGCUGAGAAAGAAAAGUUGUCACAGCGUGAUGAAAAGAUCGAUGCAUGAAAAGAGGUAUUCAUUAUUCAUUUACCUGUCGUCUCAUCUCUUACUGAAAUCUCAUCUCUCUUACUGAAAUUGCAGAACUGUUUGUGCACAUUGUGAUGUUUCUUUUUUCCGUAAACGCAAUCUAUCAGGUCUAAGCCAUAUCUAUUCCUGGGCAAGAAGGGCAUGAAGUAACACUUUGUCCUAGGUAUAUGCAUUUACUAUUGACCCUCGUUUUCCUCAUUUUCCGAUCGAUCUGUUUCUUUUUAAGACCUUCGCCAUCUCGCGCAAGAUCCUGCCUCAUUGAUUCUUACAUUGUUUCAGGAUGGCAUCUUUUGGUGAUUUAGACGCCUUUUGGAAAAUAUAGAUAUCUGUUACAUGUGUUGGAGGUUUGCGGCUUAUACAUGCAUGUCCUGAAUCUGGUUCUUCGAGGUGAAAUGGGUUGGUCGAAAUCAUGUCUACAACUUCCUUGAAAGAGCUUCUGCACCUCGUGUUUCAGUUUUGGUCACGUUUAUAUCCCUCUGUAGAAGGUCGCAGAGCCUUGGUACCCCUUGUAUGUUCUGUUGACGGUAUCACUUAGUGUUGUUUGGACCAUGUAUUGUAUUCGUGUUCCCUUUUUAUGUUAUUGGUGCUUCAGAAUCUAUAAUCAACUUGCAUUGCUUGUGUACAUGGUUACUUUUGCACCGUUCUGUUGUGGUUCAUAUUACUUGGAUUUUAUACGAUACUAUGACCUGCCAUCCAAUCUAUCUUUAAUAGAGAAACCCCCUUUUUCUCUAUGUAUCUGGAU